AACGAACGCUGGCGGCAUGCCUAACACAUGCAAGUCGAACGAGACCUUCGGGUCUAGUGGCGCACGGGUGCGUAACGCGUGGGAACCUGCCCUUAGGUUCGGAAUAACUCCCCGAAAGGGGUGCUAAUACCGGAUAAUGUCUUCGGACCAAAGAUUUAUCGCCUUUGGAUGGGCCCGCGUUGGAUUAGCUAGUUGGUAGGGUAAAAGCCUACCAAGGCGACGAUCCAUGGCUGGUCUGAGAGGAUGAUCAGCCACACUGAGACUGAGACACGGCCCAGACUCCUACGGGAGGCAGCAGUGGGGAAUAUUGGACAAUGGGCGAAAGCCUGAUCCAGCAAUGCCGCGUGAGUGAUGAAGGCCUUAGGGUUGUAAAGCUCUUUUACCCGGGAUGAUAAUGACAGUACCGGGAGAAUAAGCUCCGGCUAACUCCGUG
This 433-nucleotide ribosomal RNA is filed under the name uncultured bacterium. RNAcentral's name for it is "partial 16S ribosomal RNA". It matches the Rfam family "Bacterial small subunit ribosomal RNA", at positions 29 to 507 of the family's 1533-position model. The record is from RNAcentral.